GACGAACGCUGGCGGCGUGCUUAACACAUGCAAGUCGAACGGAAAGGCCCUGCUUUUGUGGGUUGCUCGAGUGGCGAACGGGUGAGUAACACGUGAGUAACCUGCCCUUGACUUUGGGAUAACUUCAGGAAACUGGGGCUAAUACCGGAUAGGAGCUCCUGCUGCAUGGUGGGGGUUGGAAAGUUUCGGCGGUUGGGGAUGGACUCGCGGCUUAUCAGCUUGUUGGUGGGGUAGUGGCUUACCAAGGCUUUGACGGGUAGCCGGCCUGAGAGGAUGACCGGCCACAUUGGGACUGAGAUACGGCCCAGACUCCUACGGGAGGCAGCAGUGGGGAAUAUUGCACAAUGGGCGGAAGCCUGAUGCAGCAACGCCGCGUGCGGGAUGACGGCCUUCGGGUUGUAAACCGCUUUCGCCUGUGACGAAGCGUGAGUGACGGUAAUGGGUAAAGAAGCACCGGCUAACUACGUG
RNAcentral lists this ribosomal RNA (468 nucleotides) under uncultured bacterium. RNAcentral describes it as "partial 16S ribosomal RNA". It matches the Rfam family "Bacterial small subunit ribosomal RNA", at positions 28 to 507 of the family's 1533-position model. The record is from RNAcentral.